CGAUACGAGUUUGAUCCUGGCUCAGAUUGAACGCUGGCGGAAUGCUUUACACAUGCAAGUCGAACGGCAGCACGAGGGCAACCUUGGUGGCGAGUGGCGAACGGGUGAGUAAUACAUCGGAACGUGCCCAGUCGUGGGGGAUAACGUAGCGAAAGCUACGCUAAUACCGCAUACGAUCUAUGGAUGAAAGCGGGGGACCGUAAGGCCUCGCGCGAUUGGAGCGGCCGAUGGCAGAUUAGGUAGUUGGUGGGGUAAAGGCUCACCAAGCCUGCGAUCUGUAGCCGGUCUGAGAGGACGACCAGCCACACUGGAACUGAGACACGGUCCAGACUCCUACGGGAGGCAGCAGUGGGGAAUUUUGGACAAUGGGCGCAAGCCUGAUCCAGCCAUUCCGCGUGCAGGAUGAAGGCCUUCGGGUUGUAAACUGCUUUUGUACGGAACGAAAAGGUUUUCCUUAAUACGGAGAGCUCAUGACGGUACCGUAAGAAUAAGCACCGGCUAACUACGUG
Molecule: ribosomal RNA, 509 nt
Filed under: uncultured bacterium
Lineage: Bacteria
Description: bacterial SSU rRNA
Rfam family: Bacterial small subunit ribosomal RNA
Source: RNAcentral